Molecule: non-coding RNA, 72 nt
Organism: Phthorimaea operculella (potato tuberworm)
Lineage: Eukaryota; Metazoa; Arthropoda; Insecta; Lepidoptera; Gelechiidae
Source: the annotation of a GenBank genome assembly
GCGUCCGUAGCUUAAUUGGCAGAGCAGUGGGACGGUUUCCCACAGUCCCGGGUUUAAGUCCCGGCGGUCGCA